UGUUAGGGUUACAGAGCUCCUCCAGGGAGGGGGUGCGCUCACUCCCAUGUUGCAAAUGAGGAAGGAGAGUGGAUCAAUGUCCUGGGGCUGCCACGUGGGUACUGGGGCUCAUCACCAGAAGCCUAUAGAUUAUGCUCAGCAGGAGUGUUCUUCUCAUCUGAGUCAAAGAACCGGAAGCCCAGAAAGACCAGUCUCCCAGUUUAAAGCCGGUGCUGAGCCCCGAUCCCUGCUGUGCUAUUUCCCGAGCGGCAAGGGGGGCUGGGGGGCCGCUGGCUCUGGUAUUUCACCUCCCCUCCACCUCCCAGGUCACAGCCGGGAUGGAGGCGGGGGCUUGGAGGACCGAUCAAUCUGUGUGAGCGUCCCAGGGUCGCCCCGACAAUCUGACGGGGUCGGGCUGACCUCCCGGAAGUUGAUUUGUACCCCUGCCCCCAAACCUCAGCUUCCUCUUUUGUGCAGUGGGGAUGUGAUAAAUCAGCGCCCACACACAGCCGUCCUGAGUUUGCUGUGAAGAUGUGAUGCAACAGGCUGUGAAACAAUGCGAGUCAACUCACGUCGAGAACUUUCCCGUGGGCUAAGCAUUUGACGUGAAUUUGCUGCUGGAUCCCUACAGCCCCCUGAGAGAGGUGGUAAUAUAACCCUGGCUUUAGGAAGGAGAAAGCCGGGGCGCAGGGGGGGCAGGUCCCUCCCUGAGGUCUCUUGUCCCUCAGCAGAGCGGUGGACAUGUGGUGGUUUCCCUGGUCAGUCCCGCCUCUCAGGGUGCCCGGCACGGGGUGAGGCCCAGGAGGACGGCAGUCGCCCCUGGUUUUAUAGCCACAUACGUCCCUACACAGAACUAGGAGAUUUGGGACACGCCCCUGCCAGUCCCAUGGGGGGAGGGGGGUAGCCUCUCAGUGUAAACCUGGCAAAAAGCAGGCUCUUUUUUAUUUGUUUAUUCUCUUGUCAGAGGAUCUACACCAUUAUGCUCGGUGGGUGGAAAUUAUUUAUUAAAGAAAUGGCUUAUUUAAGGGGCUUAAGCACCAGGGCGCUUUUCUGACGGAGAGCCUUUGCGAACAUCCAUCCUUAAUGACAUAGACUGAUAUUAAAAAGUAAUUAAGAGGGUAAAACCAAUAGUAUUAUGAGAAAAAUUCCCGGAGUGGCUAUUUCUUGGUAGAGCACGGGACAUAAUGAAACGAGUCAGCUACCGAAGCCAUCAAUUUGUUCCUGGAGGUCUAAAAAAAUUUUUUUAAUGUUUAUUUAUUAUCGAGAGACAGAGAGACAUGGAGCGUGAGCAGGGGAGGGGUAGAGAGAGGGGGAGACAAAGAAUCAGAAGCAGGCCCCAGGCUCCGAGCUGUCAGCCCAGAGCCCGACGUGGGGCUCGAACUCACAAACCGUGAGAUCAUGACUUGGGCCCAAGUCGGUCUGAGCCGCCCAGGUGCCCCACAAAGCUUACGGUUUAAAAGGAGAGGACCGCUAUCCCCAUGGGCACAUGUUUCCAAUGGAGGGACGUGCUGUGAAAGUGCAGGGUACGUGACUGUUCAGCAGGGGACCUUCUUCGAGAUGGUUCUCAGGGUUGGUAAGCUGUGAACUGAGCCCCAAACUCACGCGGAGCCGGAAGUGGGGCGGGGUGGGAGGAGCUGGGAUGUGGGGAGAGUGAGGCCAGGCAGCUGAAGCCUAGGGGACAACGGGACAGUGGCAGGAGUCGGGGUACGACAGAGAGCCAAGGGCCAUGUCUUCAGGGAUCUAUGGACCCUGUUAAGGAUUUCAGACUUGACCGUCCUCAGAAAACUGGGAAAUGACCAGAAGGUUGUAAGCGGGAGAGGGGCUUUAUUCCCAGAAUCUCACCACUGAGGACAGAAAGGAGCCGCUAGUAUGGCUGUGUGCCGUUUCUGUCACUCGUUCUCCAGCCCGUCCGGUAGGACCUCCGCGCCCCCUGUACAGGUGAUGUCACUUACAGGGGCCUGGGUGCAGCUAGCUGGGCCAGGACAAUCCUCCGCGACGAACACGAACGCUGAGUUAUCCAUUCAACAAAACUUACUGAGUCCGUCCUGCGGGUGGUGACAAAGGACAGUUCCAACUGGGUGAGAUGCAAGACCUCUUUUUGAAGCGAGAGUUGUUUUGCGGGCUGUUGGGUAUUUUCUCCCCAUUUGUCAUUCAGAUAACUGGCCGCCUCUUCUCUCCCAUUUGGGAUGUGGGGGCGGGGGCGAGUACCAAAUAGACUUUCCGGGGAAACCAGUGGUGAUUUCUGUCCCCGCAGACCCAUGGCUGUUUCUGCCUGACAAAAAGAAGUAUCUGGGUGUCAGCAUACAAAAUAUAAGGGAAAACAGAGCUAGGCCAAUUUCCCCUCAGGAGACACCCGCCCUCCAUGGGCAUAAUACAUUCUGGAAGGCCGGGUUAGCUCCUCCAGAGUGAUGAGGAGAAUUUUGUUAUUGUGGAGUGUCAAAAAACAUCAUGGAGUCUUUAUAGCUCGGUGCUUUAUUCUUGUGCCCUAUUUUGUUUUAUUCAGAUUAAUAAGAUCAUUUAAGGUUUGUGAGUCUGAAGUCAAGGCUUUGUUUCCCGCUGGGGAUUUUCUAUCUUGGAUCCAUGUUUCUCGGUGAGGGCGUUCAAGCGGGGCACAGUCCCUCCUCAUUGUCCUAAGCACGAGCUGCUGAGGGAGGUGUGGGAUAGACGUUUCACAGACGAUGACAGUUACCACUGUAUUUGGGUGGGUCCCAUGCAGGGUGUCACAGUCCAGGCAGUGGUGAUAUAAAAAUAGCAAAUAGGAGCACAUAAUAAUUCUUGGAGUAUAAUGUCCAAAAAGUAGGGCAAAAAGGAGGAAAAUCAUUCCUCCUUUUGAAGGUGUGCUUAGAGCAUAUUUCUCAUGUCAGGUUGGAAGGAUUCUGAUAGAACACAUGAAUCAAUUGGACUCUGAAUGACGCCACUUCCUAAAAAUACAAUUUAAGUGAUGUGCCCUUGAACCCAGCAUUCAAGUCUUUGACUUUGGCCUUGAAUCAGCCAAUUAGUGGCAGCAGACCCUUCUUGAUUAUUCAAAGUAUAACCAGCAAAUGCUUUGGCACAAUCCCUCAUGCUAAAAAACCCUGGCACCUUUCUAGAAGUCACAUUUCCUUCCCUCGGAAUGCAUCUGAAACCCCGGCACGCAAAAGCUCUCCCAUCUAGGUGGCUCUUUUGGAUAAAUCCUUUACGACGCCGUUAUAGUCGUACUUGGCCUCAAAUACCUUUAUUACUUUUCAGUUUUGAAAGCCAAACACACAGCCAGCACUGUCCAGAAUGCAGGCCUUGUCCCAGCUGCCCCGGGGCCUUCCACACCCCCCGUCAGGAGCACACAGAGCCUGAUUUGGGGUUGGCCUGCACGUGCAGGAAGCCCCAGGGCCAAGGGGUGGCUCUACACUAGCGUUUCUGGCGGCAGAGUUUCGGGUUGUCCUGAGGCCUGGCCACCGGUCUGGGGACGACCUGGUGGCAUUGAGGAUGGGCGCUGUCGUCUGCCCAGGGAGGACCCAAACACAUCCAGGGGAUCCCUGAAUUUCUCUCCCAUCCCCACCAGGAAGCAGAUGGCCUUGGGGUCCUUUCUCCUCCCCGGAAGCCAUCGAACGUCCUUCUAAUCUUUCUUCCUCUAUACCUCUCUUGCUUCUGGUUUCAGCUUUUCUAUGCUGUUUUCUGAGGCGUAAAAUAUUCCGGGUCGAACGGUGACACGUUAAUGCCACGCUGCUCAUCCCAGAAACCUCAUAACCUGGCAGCCGGUGCAGAUUACAUACGUGUUGCGUGAACGGGUGAACCGAUGAAUGAAUCCAUAGUUUGGCACGCAGGCGCACACCAUCCGUCCCCGAGCCCUCCCGACAACGGCAUCACGAGCGGAGAACUGGAACACAGCUCAGCGUCAGAAAAAUGUUCUUACUGAUUUGGGGUCAAAAUCGAGAAGCAAUACUUCGAAGGAUAAAGAACAGUCAAGGGCCAACCAGUGAUCUUAACGAGACCUUUCAGUGCUCUCGAAAGGGACUCAUCUGGUCACUGUGUGUCAGGAGGGAUAGGUGAGGAAAUAGAGAGCUUCCACCCAGAGAGACGCACCGUCUCCCCAGUGGGGGGCGGGGGCGGCGUCGGCCGAGCGCUGUCAGAAGCCCUCGCCUCGCUUCUGGCUGAUUUUCACUGCCUCCCGGGCAUCCCCUAAAGGACAUCUGCGUUUCUGUUUCGACCUCGCAGCCGAGGUACGUGAACGGAAUUUGUCCUCUCCUUCCUGGCUUUGUAUUAUGGUGGAUGAUGUGAUAUUUGGAACUGUAGCAGCCAUCUUGUGACCAAGAGGAUAAAAAAAAAAAAAAAUCAAGAGAAUGCAGAGAAGUUGACCUAGAGCCCUGAUAUCAUCAAGCCACUGGAUCAACAUGGAACUUUCUACCUCUAUACUUAUACGUAAUAAUAAAUCCUUAUUGCUCAAGCUA
This is a long non-coding RNA of Felis catus (domestic cat), 4403 nucleotides long. RefSeq lists it as uncharacterized. The transcript has 3 exons. Lineage: Eukaryota; Metazoa; Chordata; Mammalia; Carnivora; Felidae. The record is from RefSeq and is a predicted model, not a curated record.